This 360-nucleotide long non-coding RNA is filed under the name Drosophila guanche. Lineage: Eukaryota; Metazoa; Arthropoda; Insecta; Diptera; Drosophilidae. The record is from RNAcentral.
CCAACUAUACUUCGAUAUACGAAAUAUGAUUCCUUGAAAUACAAGUCAGUGAUGAGCUAGAAUCGAAUACUGAAAUCAAAAUUGGAAGCCACGCCUCUCAGCUGCGGAAUAAUACAAACAUGGCGGACUAUACGAAGGUGUUCCGGUGUCGGGGCCUGGUGAUUGUGCAAGUGGUGCGUUGAGAUUCUACUGGAACUGAAGAAGACAGCAAUUAAUAUGUAUUUCCAUAUUCAUAAAUCUGCCUGCAUGCUGGGCAGCUGUCUACGACCAUGAAUCGACAUGUCUGUGCGGUGGGGGAAACAGGGUUCGAGGGCCUCCGACUAAAUCAAGUGUCUGUUCGGUGUCAGUUUAAUUGCAAAC